Molecule: ribosomal RNA, 460 nt
Filed under: uncultured bacterium
Lineage: Bacteria
Description: partial 16S ribosomal RNA
Rfam family: Bacterial small subunit ribosomal RNA
Source: RNAcentral
CCUACGGGGAGCAGCAGGGAGGAAUAUUGGUCAAUGGACGCAAGUCUGAACCAGCCAUGCCGCGUGCAGGAAGACGGCUCUAUGAGUUGUAAACUGCUUUUGUACGAGGGUAAACGCAGAUACGCGUAUCUGUCUGAAAGUAUCGUACGAAUAAGGAUCGGCUAACUCCGUGCCAGCAGCCGCGGUAAGACGGAGGAUUCAAGCGUUAUCCGGAUUUAUUGGGUUUAAAGGGUGCGUAGGCGGUCGGAUAAGUUAGAGGUGAAAUCCCGAGGCUCAACUUCGGCAUUGCCUCUGAUACUGUUCGGCGAGAGAGUAGUUGCGGUAGGCGGAAUGUAUGGUGGAGCGGUGAAAUGCUUAGAGAUCAUACAGAACACCGAUUACGAAGGCAGCUUACCAAGCUACUUCUGACGUUGAGGCACGAAAGCGUGGGGAGCAAACAGGAUUAGAUACCCCAGUAGUC